RNAcentral lists this ribosomal RNA (176 nucleotides) under uncultured bacterium. RNAcentral's name for it is "partial 16S ribosomal RNA". It matches the Rfam family "Bacterial small subunit ribosomal RNA", at positions 335 to 526 of the family's 1533-position model. The record is from RNAcentral.
AUUCCUACGGGAGGCAGCAGUAGGGAAUCUUGCGCAAUGGGCGAAAGCCUGACGCAGCCAUGCCGCGUGAAUGAUGAAGGUCUUAGGAUUGUAAAAUUCUUUCACCGGGGACGAUAAUGACGGUACCCGGAGAAGAAGCCCCGGCUAACUUCGUGCCAGCAGCCGCGGUAAUAAUC